RNAcentral lists this ribosomal RNA (324 nucleotides) under uncultured eukaryote. Its description in RNAcentral is "partial 18S ribosomal RNA". It matches the Rfam family "Eukaryotic small subunit ribosomal RNA", at positions 1470 to 1796 of the family's 1831-position model. The record is from RNAcentral.
CCCUUAGAUGCUCUGGGCCGCACGCGCGCUACACUGGUCGAUGCAACGAGUUUCUUUCCUUGGCCGAUAGGCCUGGGCAAUCUUUGAACAUCGAUCGUGAUCGGGAUAGAUUCUUGUAAUUUUUGAUCUUAAACGAGGAAUUCCUAGUAAACGCAAGUCAUCAGCUUGCAUUGAUUACGUCCCUGCCCUUUGUACACACCGCCCGUCGCACCUACCGAUUGAAUGGUCCGGUGAAAUCUCCGGACUGGCGUGAGUCGGAGCAAUCUGACAAACACCGGAAAGUUGAUUAAACCUUACCAUUUAGAGGAAGGUGAANUCGUANCA